Molecule: ribosomal RNA, 253 nt
Filed under: uncultured bacterium
Lineage: Bacteria
Description: partial 16S ribosomal RNA
Rfam family: Bacterial small subunit ribosomal RNA
Source: RNAcentral
UACGUAGGGUGCGAGCGUUGUCCGGAAUUACUGGGCGUAAAGAGCUCGUAGGUGGUUUGUCGCGUUGUUCGUGAAAACUCACAACUCAAUUGUGGGCGUGCGGGCGAUACGGGCAGACUAGAGUACUGCAGGGGAGACUGGAAUUCCUGGUGUAGCGGUGGAAUGCGCAGAUAUCAGGAGGAACACCGGUGGCGAAGGCGGGUCUCUGGGCAGUAACUGACGCUGAGGAGCGAAAGCGUGGGGAGCGAACAGG